This is a long non-coding RNA of Canis lupus familiaris (dog), 995 nucleotides long. RefSeq lists it as uncharacterized. The transcript is spliced from 5 exons. The record is from RefSeq and is a predicted model, not a curated record. NCBI's taxonomy places the organism in Eukaryota, Metazoa, Chordata, Mammalia, Carnivora, Canidae.
CAGAAGGAAAAUAUGCUUCCGGACCACAGUUGAUCUUGGGGGCCUGUGAUGGCUGUUCUUGUGCUAACACUGAACUUUAAGUGGAAUGGCCUUACUUUUCUCAGCCUCCACAACUCACUGGACUUGAGAAAAAUUGGAGGACAUAAAUAGACUAGAGGAGACAGAAAAACAAAUUUGUGACCUGGAGGACAGAGUCAUGGAAAGUUAUCAACCUGAGCAGAUCAUGGAUGACUACAGAUCGUUUCCAUAAAUAUUCUCACCAACUGAUUCUAUAAAAAGAGUGAGUUAAUCUACUUGUGAAAUAUUUGCUGCUCUGUCCAGAAUAAACCUACCUGCUUGCCUCUGUGUCCUACAAAAUCUUCAUCUGAAGAGAAGGUGAAAGAAACCAGAGUUUUUGCAAUAGAGAGCCAAAGAAUCUAGGUGAAGAUGGAUUGGGAUGCAAGUGCCAUACAGCAGAGGACAACAGCAAGUACAGAAUGAGGACAUUGAGCUGAGGGCAGGCAGCAGCAAGAGACCCAUGCCAUCUAAGGGCAGCACUCAAAGCAGAGAUAAAGCUAAGAAUACAUCAAAACAGAGCACCAGUGCCCUCAAAAUGCAGAAAGAAGACCUGCUACAUCCCUCCCACAGUCAGAGGACCUUAGGCUUAAAAGCACAUUGCUAUAUAUUAUUGGAAGGAACAGAGGCACCAGACACCAGAUCAAUUAUACAUGUAUUCUAAUAUGGGACUCUUCUGCAUCUAAAAACACCUUCCCAUGUGAAGAUUCUAACGCAAGAGUAUCAGGAGGAAUAGAACCUAGGAGUGAUGCAUAGGCCAGGCACACAAAAGAAUUCAGACACAAAGGAGAAGUGUUAAAAUUUCAUAUCAUGGACUCUCUAUCAAGGAAAGAUCAGUAGAAAUUGAGGACUAGUAUAUGAGAUAACAGCCACUCGAUAUUUUCUCCCAUUUGCUGUCAAAUAGAGUGCUCAUCUCCAAACUGUUCACUGUUGCCAAUAAA